Molecule: small RNA, 79 nt
Filed under: Flavobacterium noncentrifugens
Lineage: Bacteria; Pseudomonadati; Bacteroidota; Flavobacteriia; Flavobacteriales; Flavobacteriaceae
Description: Flavo-1 RNA
Source: RNAcentral
CUUACGCAUUUGCAGCGGAAAUCCUUUUUUGUGGCGCGCAGCAAAAUAAAAAAGAUUGCAGCGGAAAGCAGGAAACAGC